CAGUUUGUGAAGUCUAUAAGAAAAAUAUGAAGUCAGACAUCAAAAUAAGUUUAAAAGGCAGCAGAAAUCGAAACAAGUUUUCACCAAUCAUCAUAGAUCACAUCUCUAGGUAUAACGUUUCACAUAGCUUGGACUCACUAAGCAUAAAUCAAAUCCAGCUACAAAAUUCUCAUCAAACACUAUAUGCUUUUAAGUCAAUUUAAAUUUAAAACCCCCAAAGAAAGAGCGUUUUGGCAAUGUCUCAUUUAGCAGCGGUUGACUACAGUUCAGCUAACAGGCUGCUGAUUCCCGUAGCCAUUAGAGGCUGCUCCAGCAGCAUACAUGCCAGAAUCCUGAUUUUGUGAUGCGCCAUAUCCAUAUCCUCCAUAAUUUUGCCUUCCAUAAUAGCCGCCCCCAUUACCAGAAUCACUUCUCAUCUGCUUGUUUGCUGGACUACGCCCCCAGGAAAGACGAACUGCCUGCUUGCCAAUUACAGCCCCACUCAAUUUUUGUAUCGCCUCCUGAGCAGAGCUCCUGUCAGAAAAUUGUACAAAACCACAUCCUUUUCCGGCAGGUAUUUUCACAGAGACCACUUCCCCAAACUGAGUAAAGGACUGCCUCAGUUCCUCGUCAGUGACAUCAGAAUCAAGUCCUCCAACAAAAAUUGUCGUGUUUGAUGAAUCACCAUCAGACUGGGAUCCAUGGGUUGCAGCACCAUUUGAUGCAUAUCCACCAGAUAAUAUCACAGCUUGAGAAGAAAAUUGUUGCUGUGCUGAUGGUUUCUUUGGGGUAGCAACACCAACACGCAUGGGCCUGCUGGAACAAUAUAUACCAUUCAUUUCAGUCAUGGCCCGAGACCUCUCGCUUUCAUCACCAAACCUUACAAAGCCAUAGCCUUUUGAGUGGCCUGUGUUCGCAUCUACUACUACUUUUGCACCUUUAACAGAUGGAUAUCUACUAGCGAAUGUGUCACGUAACAUUGUGUCAGUAACAUCAGAGGCCAAAUCUCCUACAAAAAUUGAGAAAUCAGAACCAGUUUCUGCACGCUUUUCACCAGCGCUGAAGGCUGCCCAAUUUAAGCGGAAAGGUUGCUCGGCAUUUGGCAUCAUUGUGCCAUUGUAGCUCUGUAGCACUUUUUCCGCUGCUGCGUGACUAUUGAACUCAACAAAUCCAUAACGCUCUGACUGACCAGUUUGCUUGUUUCGAAUAAUUUUCACAGAAAUAACCUCGCCAGCAUGAGAAAAGCAUGAAUGAAGAUAACUCUCAUCCAUCCACUGUUGAAGAUCACCAAUCCAGAUCGUUUUGUUAUCUUCAGAUGAGUUCUGAAUCUGAGUCGGCGGCUGUUGCAUCUUCUGUUGAUGGUAGUAAGGCAUGUAUUGCUGACCAUACAUCAUCUGUUGCUGCAUAGCCAUUGCUGCUGCUGGAUACUGCAUCGCCAUCCAUUGUUGCUGAUACUGCUGCAUCGCCACCCACUGUUGCUGCUGCUGCUGUUGUUG
RNAcentral lists this unclassified non-coding RNA (1475 nucleotides) under Hevea brasiliensis (rubber tree). Lineage: Eukaryota; Viridiplantae; Streptophyta; Magnoliopsida; Malpighiales; Euphorbiaceae. The record is from RNAcentral.